RNAcentral lists this transfer RNA (75 nucleotides) under Candidatus Microgenomates bacterium. Its description in RNAcentral is "tRNA-Arg". It matches the Rfam family "tRNA". From Rfam's summary of the family: Transfer RNA (tRNA) molecules are approximately 80 nucleotides in length. Lineage: Bacteria; Candidatus Microgenomatota. The record is from RNAcentral.
GUCCCUAUAGUUCAAUGGACAGAACGGAGGUUUCCUAAACCUUAAAUCCAGGUUCGACUCCUGGUAGGGACACUA